CAGUCGCCGCGGGAAUACGUAGGGUGCGAGCGUCAAUCGGAAUUACUGGGCGUAAAGCGUGCGCAGGCGGCUUUGCAAGACAGAUGUGAAAUCCCCGGGCUCAACCUGGGAACUGCAUUUGUGACUGCAAGGCUAGAGUGCGGCAGAGGGAGAUGGAAUUCCGCGUGUAGCAGUGAAAUGCGUAGAUAUGCGGAGGAACACCGAUGGCGAAGGCAAUCUCCUGGGCCUGCACUGACGCUCAUGCACGAAAGCGUGGGGAGCAAACAGGAUUAGAUACCCCAGUAGUCCCUGUCUCUUAUAA
This 301-nucleotide ribosomal RNA is filed under the name uncultured bacterium. RNAcentral's name for it is "partial 16S ribosomal RNA". It matches the Rfam family "Bacterial small subunit ribosomal RNA", at positions 509 to 809 of the family's 1533-position model. The record is from RNAcentral.